Molecule: ribosomal RNA, 524 nt
Filed under: Legionella pneumophila serogroup 2
Lineage: Bacteria; Pseudomonadati; Pseudomonadota; Gammaproteobacteria; Legionellales; Legionellaceae
Also listed under: 6 other names
Description: bacterial SSU rRNA
Rfam family: Bacterial small subunit ribosomal RNA
Source: RNAcentral
UGCUUAACACAUGCAAGUCGAACGGCAGCAUUGUCUAGCUUGCUAGACAGAUGGCGAGUGGCGAACGGGUGAGUAACGCGUAGGAAUAUGCCUUGAAGAGGGGGACAACUUGGGGAAACUCAAGCUAAUACCGCAUAAUGUCUGAGGACGAAAGCUGGGGACCUUCGGGCCUGGCGCUUUAAGAUUAGCCUGCGUCCGAUUAGCUAGUUGGUGGGGUAAGGGCCUACCAAGGCGACGAUCGGUAGCUGGUCUGAGAGGAUGACCAGCCACACUGGAACUGAGACACGGUCCAGACUCCUACGGGAGGCAGCAGUGGGGAAUAUUGGACAAUGGGGGCAACCCUGAUCCAGCAAUGCCGCGUGUGUGAAGAAGGCCUGAGGGUUGUAAAGCACUUUCAGUGGGGAGGAGGGUUGAUAGGUUAAGAGCUGAUUAACUGGACGUUACCCACAGAAGAAGCACCGGCUAACUCCGUGCCAGCAGCCGCGGUAAUACGGAGGGUGCGAGCGUUAAUCGGAAUUACUGGG